AUAAUGGGUCAGCGACUUAUAUUCUGUAGCAAGGUUAACCGAAUAGGGGAGCCGAAGGGAAACCGAGUCUUAACUGGGCGUUAAGUUGCAGGGUAUAGACCCGAAACCCGGUGAUCUAGCCAUGGGCAGGUUGAAGGUUGGGUAACACUAACUGGAGGACCGAACCGACUAAUGUUGAAAAAUUAGCGGAUGACUUGUGGCUGGGGGUGAAAGGCCAAUCAAACCGGGAGAUAGCUGGUUCUCCCCGAAAGCUAUUUAGGUAGCGCCUCGUGAAUUCAUCUCCGGGGGUAGAGCACUGUUUCGGCAAGGGGGUCAUCCCGACUUACCAACCCGAUGCAAACUGCGAAUACCGGAGAAUGUUAUCACGGGAGACACACGGCGGGUGCUAACGUCCGUCGUGAAGAGGGAAACAACCCAGACCGCCAGCUAAGGUCCCAAAGUCAUGGUUAAGUGGGAAACGAUGUGGGAAGGCCCAGACAGCCAGGAUGUUGGCUUAGAAGCAGCCAUCAUUUAAAGAAAGCGUAAUAGCUCACUGGUCGAGUCGGCCUGCGCGGAAGAUGUAACGGGGCUAAACCAUGCACCGAAGCUGCGGCAGCGACACUAUGUGUUGUUGGGUAGGGGAGCGUUCUGUAAGCCUGUGAAGGUGUACUGUGAGGUAUGCUGGAGGUAUCAGAAGUGCGAAUGCUGACAUAAGUAACGAUAAAGCGGGUGAAAAGCCCGCUCGCCGGAAGACCAAGGGUUCCUGUCCAACGUUAAUCGGGGCAGGGUGAGUCGACCCCUAAGGCGAGGCCGAAAGGCGUAGUCGAUGGGAAACAGGUUAAUAUUCCUGUACUUGGUGUUACUGCGAAGGGGGGACGGAGAAGGCUAUGUUGGCCGGGCGACGGUUGUCCCGGUUUAAGCGUGUAGGCUGGUUUUCCAGGCAAAUCCGGAAAAUCAAGGCUGAGGCGUGAUGACGAGGCACUACGGUGCUGAAGCAACAAAUGCCCUGCUUCCAGGAAAAGCCUCUAAGCAUCAGGUAACAUCAAAUCGUACCCCAAACCGACACAGGUGGUCAGGUAGAGAAUACCAAGGCGCUUGAGAGAACUCGGGUGAAGGAACUAGGCAAAAUGGUGCCGUAACUUCGGGAGAAGGCACGCUGAUAUGUAGGUGAAGUCCCUCGCGGAUGGAGCUGAAAUCAGUCGAAGAUACCAGCUGGCUGCAACUGUUUAUUAAAAACACAGCACUGUGCAAACACGAAAGUGGACGUAUACGGUGUGACGCCUGCCCGGUGCCGGAAGGUUAAUUGAUGGGGUCAGCGCAAGCGAAGCUCUUGAUCGAAGCCCCGGUAAACGGCGGCCGUAACUAUAACGGUCCUAAGGUAGCGAAAUUCCUUGUCGGGUAAGUUCCGACCUGCACGAAUGGCGUAAUGAUGGCCAGGCUGUCUCCACCCGAGACUCAGUGAAAUUGAACUCGCUGUGAAGAUGCAGUGUACCCGCGGCAAGACGGAAAGACCCCGUGAACCUUUACUAUAGCUUGACACUGAACAUUGAGCCUUGAUGUGUAGGAUAGGUGGGAGGCUUUGAAGUGUGGACGCCAGUCUGCAUGGAGCCGACCUUGAAAUACCACCCUUUAAUGUUUGAUGUUCUAACGUUGACCCGUGAUCCGGGUUGCGGACAGUGUCUGGUGGGUAGUUUGACUGGGGCGGUCUCCUCCUAAAGAGUAACGGAGGAGCACGAAGGUUGGCUAAUCCUGGUCGGACAUCAGGAGGUUAGUGCAAUGGCAUAAGCCAGCUUGACUGCGAGCGUGACGGCGCGAGCAGGUGCGAAAGCAGGUCAUAGUGAUCCGGUGGUUCUGAAUGGAAGGGCCAUCGCUCAACGGAUAAAAGGUACUCCGGGGAUAACAGGCUGAUACCGCCCAAGAGUUCAUAUCGACGGCGGUGUUUGGCACCUCGAUGUCGGCUCAUCACAUCCUGGGGCUGAAGUAGGUCCCAAGGGUAUGGCUGUUCGCCAUUUAAAGUGGUACGCGAGCUGGGUUUAGAACGUCGUGAGACAGUUCGGUCCCUAUCUGCCGUGGGCGCUGGAGAACUGAGGGGGGCUGCUCCUAGUACGAGAGGACCGGAGUGGACGCAUCACUGGUGUUCGGGUUGUCAUGCCAAUGGCACUGCCCGGUAGCUAAAUGCGGAAGAGAUAAGUGCUGAAAGCAUCUAAGCACGAAACUUGCCCCGAGAUGAGUUCUCCCUGACUCCUUGAGAGUCCUGAAGGAACGUUGAAGACGACGACGUUGAUAGGCCGGGUGUGUAAGCGCAGCGAUGCGUUGAGCUAACCGGUACUAAUGAACCGUGAGGCUUAACCUU
This 2332-nucleotide ribosomal RNA is filed under the name Escherichia coli. RNAcentral describes it as "partial 23S ribosomal RNA". It matches the Rfam family "Bacterial large subunit ribosomal RNA", at positions 612 to 2925 of the family's 2925-position model. The record is from RNAcentral. Lineage: Bacteria; Pseudomonadati; Pseudomonadota; Gammaproteobacteria; Enterobacterales; Enterobacteriaceae.